GAUGAAGAACGUAGCGAAAUGCGAUAAGUAAUGUGAAUUGCUGAAUUCAGUGAAUCAUCGAAUCUUUGAACGCACAUUGCGCCCGCCAGUAUUCUGGCGGGCAUGCCUGUUCGAGCGUCAUUACAACCCUCAGGCCCCCGGGCCUGGCGUUGGGGAUCGGCGGAGCCCCCCGUGGGCACACGCCGUCCCCCAAAUGCAGUGGCGGUCCCGCCGCAGCUUCCAUCGCGUAGUAGCUAACACCUCGCGACUGGAGAGCGGCGCGGCCACGCCGUAAAACACCCAACUCUUCUGAAGUUGACCUCGAAUCAGGUAGGAAUACCCGCUGAACUUAAGCAUAUCAAUAAGCGGAGGA
RNAcentral lists this unclassified non-coding RNA (352 nucleotides) under soil metagenome. RNAcentral's name for it is "partial contains 5.8S ribosomal RNA, internal transcribed spacer 2, and large subunit ribosomal RNA". The stretch from base 1 to 120 matches the Rfam family "5.8S ribosomal RNA", at positions 35 to 154 of the family's 154-position model. The record is from RNAcentral.